RNAcentral lists this ribosomal RNA (250 nucleotides) under uncultured bacterium. RNAcentral describes it as "partial 16S ribosomal RNA". It matches the Rfam family "Bacterial small subunit ribosomal RNA", at positions 89 to 339 of the family's 1533-position model. The record is from RNAcentral.
UAGAGACCGGCGCACGGGUGCGUAACGCGUAUGCAAUCUACCUUUCACAGAGGGAUAGCCCAGAGAAAUUUGGAUUAAUACCUCAUAGUAUAAUACCUUGGCAUCAAGGAAUUAUUAAAGUCACAACGGUGAAAGAUGAGCAUGCGUCCCAUUAGCUAGUUGGUAUGGUAACGGCAUACCAAGGCUACGAUGGGUAGGGGUCCUGAGAGGGAGAUCCCCCACACUGGUACUGAGACACGGACCAGACUCC